UCGGACGGGUGAGUAACGCGUGAGAAUCUGCCUCGAGGAGGGGGAUAACAGCGGGAAACUGCUGCUAAUACCCCAUAUGCCGAAAGGUGAAAAGAAAUUUGCCUUGAGAGGGGCUCGCGUCCGAUUAGCUAGUUGGUGAGGUAAGAGCUUACCAAGGCGACGAUCGGUAGCUGGUCUGAGAGGAUGAGCAGCCACACUGGGACUGAGACACGGCCCAGACUCCUACGGGAGGCAGCAGUGGGGAAUUUUCCGCAAUGGGCGAAAGCCUGACGGAGCAACGCCGCGUGGGGGAAGAAGGCCUUUGGGUUGUAAACUCCUUUUCUCAGGGAAGAAGCACUGACGGUACCUGAGGAAUCAGCCUCGGCUAACUCCGUGCCAGCAGCCGCGGUAAUACGGAGGAGGCAAGCGUUAUCCGGAAUUAUUGGGCGUAAAGCGUUCGUAGGCGGCAUUUCAAGUCUGCUGUCAAAGGCCGAGGCUCAACUUCGGAAAGGCAGUGGAAACUGAAAAGCUAGAGGUCGGUAGGGGCAGAGGGAAUUCCCAGUGUAGCGGUGAAAUGCGUAGAUAUUGGGAAGAACACCGGUGGCGAAAGCGCUCUGCUGGCCGA
Molecule: ribosomal RNA, 604 nt
Filed under: Geitlerinema sp. LEGE 11391
Lineage: Bacteria; Bacillati; Cyanobacteriota; Cyanophyceae; Geitlerinematales; Geitlerinemataceae
Description: bacterial SSU rRNA
Rfam family: Bacterial small subunit ribosomal RNA
Source: RNAcentral